Molecule: ribosomal RNA, 207 nt
Filed under: uncultured bacterium
Lineage: Bacteria
Description: partial 16S ribosomal RNA
Rfam family: Bacterial small subunit ribosomal RNA
Source: RNAcentral
CGUGUAGGCGGGAUGGUAUGUCGGGUGUGAAAGCCCUCGGCUCAACCGAGGAAAUGCAUCCGAAACUGCCAUUCUUGAGUACGGGAGAGGGAAGCGGAAUUUCCAGUGUAGAGGUGAAAUUCGUAGAUAUUGGAAAGAACAUCGGUGGCGAAGGCGGCUUCCUGGACCGACACUGACGCUGAGACGCGAAAGCGUGGGUAGCGAACA